This 73-nucleotide transfer RNA is filed under the name Solirubrobacterales bacterium. RNAcentral describes it as "tRNA-Thr". It matches the Rfam family "tRNA". Rfam says of the family: Transfer RNA (tRNA) molecules are approximately 80 nucleotides in length. Their secondary structure includes four short double-helical elements and three loops (D, anti-codon, and T loops). Further hydrogen bonds mediate the characteristic L-shaped molecular structure. tRNAs have two regions of fundamental functional importance: the anti-codon, which is responsible for specific mRNA codon recognition, and the 3' end, to which the tRNAs corresponding amino acid is attached (by aminoacyl-tRNA synthetases). tRNAs cope with the degeneracy of the genetic code in two manners: having more than one tRNA (with a specific anti-codon) for a particular amino acid; and 'wobble' base-pairing, i.e. permitting non-standard base-pairing at the 3rd anti-codon position. RNAcentral also lists the same sequence under 3 other names. Lineage: Bacteria; Bacillati; Actinomycetota; Thermoleophilia; Solirubrobacterales. The record is from RNAcentral.
GCCGGCGUAGCUCAGCUGGUAGAGCACUUCACUCGUAAUGAAGGGGUCAGCGGUUCGAGUCCGCUCGCCGGCU